Molecule: small RNA, 122 nt
Organism: Acidovorax temperans
Lineage: Bacteria; Pseudomonadati; Pseudomonadota; Betaproteobacteria; Burkholderiales; Comamonadaceae
Rfam family: Burkholderia RNA 11
About the family: Co-purified with Hfq, expression confirmed by Northern blot. Predicted target marZ. Overlaps coding sequence.
Source: Rfam
GCAACCUCAAGCUGGCGCAUGGCAAUGUGGUGGUGUUCCGCUCGCUCUUGGGCAUCAGCUGGAUGUGGUUCUUCGGCGCCGUCUUCCUGUCGCAGUUUCCGGCCUUGGCCAAAGAGGUGUUG